This is a long non-coding RNA of Trematomus bernacchii (emerald rockcod), 1020 nucleotides long. RefSeq lists it as uncharacterized. Lineage: Eukaryota; Metazoa; Chordata; Actinopteri; Perciformes; Nototheniidae. The transcript has 3 exons. The record is from RefSeq and is a predicted model, not a curated record.
ACAUUGUUAAUGUAAAGUUAAUUCAACUUAAGCCGCUUAAAGUUCAUGUGGUAGGAUUUCUGUGUGAGUUUAUUGUGUUUUUGUUGACUUGGUGAGGCGCAAUUACCGCGAGUUACUUGUGGCGAAAUCCUCCGUGCGCGUUUACAUUAAUGUAUAUUUAAAUAUAUAAAUUAACGCUAACUACCAUGUAAGAUUACCAUUAACUCCCGUAUUAUUUUCCAAUAAACCGGGGUUAGAUAUACUAACCCAUCACUGUUACAAAACACAGCGUGGGGACAAGUUAACAGCAGUUUACUUUUGGAUAAAAAAGUAUUAUGUAUAUUCAGCUGUGCCGUUGCCCAGACGGGGUUAAAUAUACAUAAUAGAUGCAGACACACACACACACACUGCUAAACACCAGAACUGUUGAAACCACAUCCAUAACAUUCAUCUACUACUUAGUAAUUAUUUAUCUAAUAUAUCAUUCAGCCUUGGCUGAGCUCCCUUUGUUAGUUAAAAGGGUUUGACCCAUGGGGGAGGGGUAAUGGAAGUGUAAAUAGUUUCAACAAACACACAGCUCCAGACAUACAGGAACAAAGAUCAACAAUAUCUGAUCCAAAGUAAAAUAGCACUACAUAUAUCAUAGCACAAUGUGAAUGUGCAGACAGUUAAAGUCUGCUCUCUAUUAGACCCCACCUGUGAACAUCAUUAACUCACUGAUAUAUAUUUUCUUCUUGACAGAUAAAAUGCAAAAAUCUUUUGGCUAUCCCUCCAUGCAGCCCCUGCUCUUCCUGUAAAGAGACUUGUGCCCCUACCAAAGGAGCUGAUGUUUCUGAUGCCGGAACCAUCCGCCCCGACACCAACAGAGACCAACAUCACUGUUCCAGUGGCUCCUGAGAUUUCUGCAGAGCCCUGUCAACCGACACUGCAUCCACCAGCUGCACCAACACAAAGUCAGCCAUUACCCAGGCCAUCAACGGUCCCCAGCUGUCCUCCUCCUCCUCCUCCUCCUCCUCCUCCUCCUCCUCCUCCUCCUCCUCC